Quercus lobata is the source of this 1730-nucleotide long non-coding RNA. RefSeq lists it as uncharacterized. The transcript has 3 exons. NCBI's taxonomy places the organism in Eukaryota, Viridiplantae, Streptophyta, Magnoliopsida, Fagales, Fagaceae. The record is from RefSeq and is a predicted model, not a curated record.
CAUUAAAUUUCCCUAAACCCAAGCCAUACAUCUCAUUUCUCUAGAACCUUCUCUCUCUCUGAUAUUUGCUCUCACUACCGAGCCUCCAUCUUUGAAACUCUCUCAACAGACCUCUAUGGCCGAGCCACUCAAGCACAUCACUUCAAGAUUAGCGCCGCCACCACCGGCGACAACUUGAUCCUCACCAAAGCUCUCACCGAGCUCUCUAUCUCUCACUCUAGGCUUGAGCUCUCCCUAAUCUCUGAAGCUCUCUCAACAUACCUCUAUGUCUAACCUCUGAGGUCCAUCCAUCUCAAAUCAUCAACCACCACCACUCCAUGGUAUUUCAUCCCUAGAUUCUCACUCUCUCUCUUUCUAAACCAAAGUUCAAACCCGAUCCGAGCCUAUCUCUCUGGACUUCGAUUUCAAUGGUGCCAAGGAAACGAAGCUUCCAAGCUCCACCGUGACAAACAGCAAGCACCACCACGACGGUGGCCUAUCAUCUCAGUCUAAAGCGAUGAUCCAAACUGAGCUCUCUUCUAAACCUGAACCAAAGUCUCAGAGUCUCUUCUACUUUUAAACCUAGCAACCACUCUCCGAUCUACAAGCUAAGAGCGCCUUGAAUGGCGUGUGAACCACAAGAAGUUGAUGUGGAGGUGAAGGGCCUCAAUGAUCUGCCAAGAACUAAGACCAUGGUAGCGUGUGGACUCACACGCGGUGGCGCAUGAACAAGCGUGUGCAAAACAAAGGAAAUCUUCACUGAAAAUGGCCGGUGGCUGGGCUUGUUCAUCUUCACCAAAAGCUCAAACCUUAGAUUGAUGUUUGAUCUACCAUUGAUAGAUCAAUUUGCUUGUUGUAUGAGAGACUAAGAGGUGAGAUUCUCAAAAACAGAGAACAGAAACAGAGGCAAAGAGGACGAGAGAAAGACAACUUCAGAAGAGAUCCACGUGUUUGUGUUUCUUAUUGCGUGGGGAUGAGAGAGAGUGCAUAUGGACCGUGUGAACCUGAUCGUGCGAUAUCUUUUGAUCCAAUGGUUCGAUUUAGAAACCGGAAACACUGUUGCGACCAUUAGAAUCUCAAGGUUAUUUUUGUGAUAUGCAAUGAAUGAAUUAAUGCAUACAAUGCAGGAAUAGAUUGAUGCAUGUGAUGCAAGAACAAAAUGAUGCAAGAAUGAUUUUUUUUUUUUUUUUUUUUUUUGUACAUGGAUGGUCACUCCAGUCAUCUUUCUUGAUUAAAUCAUGGUUGCAAAAUUGAGUGUCUACAGGAUUCUCCACUUUUUCUUUUUGUUCUUCUCUUUGCUUUGAUGCUUUUAGGUUAUUGUUGUUGUUUUUUUUUUAUUCUGAUCUUGUGUUUAUGGAUGCCUCUGUUGGGGUUGAGGGUUUAGCUACAAAGAAAACACAAUAAACAAGUUAGAUUCAAACUAAAGCAAAACCCAAAGAAAUUAUUCAAGAAAUGAGUGAGAAGAAGCUCAUGGUUGUGUUUAGAUUCUCUGUUGAUGUUCUGAAUCUGCUUCUUUUGGAUUUCUUUUCUCUUUGAGUUUUCUGUGGGUUCAAAGGGUUAUUUUUUCUAGGUUUUUGAAUGGCUUUAUCUGAGUUUUUCAAACUGUCUUUGGGUUGCUUUUUUGGGUAUUUUGGGGGAGUUGUUUCUAGUUUUCCUUUUGAAGAAUCUCCUGGAUCUAUUGUGGGGGUUCUUGGAUGAGAGAAUGAUAAGGGAGGUGGGAAGAGAUGGGGGAGAGGCAGAAAGGAUGUCCA